UGGGGAAUAUUGCACAAUGGGGGAAACCCUGAUGCAGCGACGCCGCGUGAGCGAAGAAGGCUUUCGAGUCGUAAAGCUCUGUCCUAUGAGAAGAUAAUGACGGUAUCAUAGGAGGAAGCCCCGGCUAAAUACGUGCCAGCAGCCGCGGUAAUACGUAUGGGGCGAGCGUUGUCCGGAAUUAUUGGGCGUAAAGGGUACGUAGGCGGCCUUUUAAGUCAGGUGUGAAAUCGUGAGGCUUAACCUCAUUAAGCACUUGAAACUGGAAGGCUUGAGUGAAGGAGAGGAAAGUGGAAUUCCUAGUGUAGCGGUGAAAUGCGUAGAUAUUAGGAGGAAUACCGGUGGCGAAGGCGACUUUCUGGACUUUUACUGACGCUCAGGUACGAAAGCGUGGGGAGCAAACA
This 401-nucleotide ribosomal RNA is filed under the name uncultured Parvimonas sp. RNAcentral describes it as "bacterial SSU rRNA". It matches the Rfam family "Bacterial small subunit ribosomal RNA", at positions 355 to 774 of the family's 1533-position model. The record is from RNAcentral. Lineage: Bacteria; Bacillati; Bacillota; Tissierellia; Tissierellales; Peptoniphilaceae.